GAUCAUUCUAAUUGUUAGGAUUUAAUUAAAUUAAAUGGAUUUGAUCUGAAACUGUUCGGAUCUUGAAAUUCACUUGUCACAUAUCCAUGCAUGGCGCCAUAAAUUGAUUUUUAAUAUGAUUAAAAAUUAAUUUAAUUUAUUUAAUGGUGCCAUGGGACACUUGGCAACAUCAGGGACCUCUUUCAUCAUUAGAUGGGUCGAAAUGGAGAGAUAAAUUUAUGAAAAGAAUUGGAUAAGAUCAAAUUCUCUCUCUUCAUGACAUAUGCCAUCCUUAUCUUUAUCUCACUUCUAAUUAAGGUUGAAUUUCAAAUUUAAUCAUCACAAAAUCACCACGUGACCCUCUAAUCUGUUUGGGGGCAUGGAAAUUUCGAAAUUGAAAGAGGAAAGUGGCAACAUGAUGAAUGGUUUAGAUUAGAUCAAGCUUCAUCAUGUAAUGGCACAUGAACUUGAAUUUUGAAUUCAAAAUUCAAAACCCCACAAAAUCCUCCACAAAUAUGGGAUGGUUGGCNN
This 510-nucleotide long non-coding RNA is filed under the name Phoenix dactylifera (date palm). RNAcentral's name for it is "long non-coding RNA (PDAC_LNC011334)". Lineage: Eukaryota; Viridiplantae; Streptophyta; Magnoliopsida; Arecales; Arecaceae. The record is from RNAcentral.